This 368-nucleotide transfer-messenger RNA is filed under the name Gemmatimonadota. RNAcentral's name for it is "JAGWBR01 sp021295785 Standard tmRNA". It matches the Rfam family "transfer-messenger RNA". From Rfam's summary of the family: Bacterial tmRNA, also known as 10Sa RNA or SsrA, is named for its dual tRNA and mRNA-like properties. RNAcentral also lists the same sequence under 1 other name. The record is from RNAcentral. Lineage: Bacteria; Pseudomonadati.
GGGGGCGACACGGCUUCGACGUGUGCCUCUGAAGCUGAGGAAGCGUGCCGAGGAUCGGGGGACCUCGUUAAUCCCCGCCCGAAACCAUCAACUGCCAACAACGACUUGGCUCUGGCAGCGUAAACAAACGCUGUCCGUCCCUGCAGGAGCCCGCCCGAGGCGACUGUCGCGGACGACGCAAAUUCGGGCUGGUCGCCGAAGUUUGUCGCAACCGAGGCGGUGAGAAUAACGGCGGAAGCCGAGCGACUGGGCCUCUGACCGGCUGUUCGCGGGCCGGCACCGGGGCGAGACCAAUUCGCGAACUACGCACGUAGACGCCGAAGCCGACGAGCUCACGGACGCGGGUUCGAUUCCCGCCGCCUCCAUCA